CUUGCUCCUUUGACGUUAGCGGCGGACGGGUGAGUAACACGUGGGUAACCUACCUAUAAGACUGGGAUAACUUCGGGAAACCGGAGCUAAUACCGGAUAAUAUUUCGAACCGCAUGGUUCGAUAGUGAAAGAUGGUUUUGCUAUCACUUAUAGAUGGACCCGCGCCGUAUUAGCUAGUUGGUAAGGUAACGGCUUACCAAGGCGACGAUACGUAGCCGACCUGAGAGGGUGAUCGGCCACACUGGAACUGAGACACGGUCCAGACUCCUACGGGAGGCAGCAGUAGGGAAUCUUCCGCAAUGGGCGAAAGCCUGACGGAGCAACGCCGCGUGAGUGAUGAAGGUCUUCGGAUCGUAAAACUCUGUUAUUAGGGAAGAACAUACGUGUAAGUAACUAUGCACGUCUUGACGGUACCUAAUCAGAAAGCCACGGCUAACUACGUGCCAGCAGCCGCGGUAAUACGUAGGUGGCAAGCGUUAUCCGGAAUUAUUGGGCGUAAAGCGCGCGUAGGCGGUUUUUUAAGUCUGAUGUGAAAGCCCACGGCUCAACCGUGGAGGGUCAUUGGAAACUGGAAAACUUGAGUGCAGAAGAGGAAAGUGGAAUUCCAUGUGUAGCGGUGAAAUGCGCAGAGAUAUGGAGGAACACCAGUGGCGAAGGCGACUUUCUGGUCUGUAACUGACGCUGAUGUG
Molecule: ribosomal RNA, 689 nt
Filed under: Staphylococcus epidermidis
Lineage: Bacteria; Bacillati; Bacillota; Bacilli; Caryophanales; Staphylococcaceae
Description: bacterial SSU rRNA
Rfam family: Bacterial small subunit ribosomal RNA
Source: RNAcentral